AUCGCUUCUCGGCCUUUUGGCUAAGAUCAAGUGUAGUAUCUGUUCUUAUCAGUUUAAUAUCUGAUACGUCCCCUAUCUGGGGACCAUAUAUUAAUGGAUUUUUGGAACAGGAGAUGGAAGAAGAGCUUGCUCUGUCCACUCCACGCAUCGACCUGGUAUUGCAGUACCUCCAGGACCGGUGCACCUCUC
Molecule: small nuclear RNA, 189 nt
Filed under: Xenopus tropicalis (tropical clawed frog)
Lineage: Eukaryota; Metazoa; Chordata; Amphibia; Anura; Pipidae
Description: U2 spliceosomal RNA (ENSXETG00000044548.1)
Rfam family: U2 spliceosomal RNA
About the family: U2 is a small nuclear RNA (snRNA) component of the spliceosome (involved in pre-mRNA splicing).
Source: Rfam by way of RNAcentral